Molecule: ribosomal RNA, 483 nt
Filed under: uncultured bacterium
Lineage: Bacteria
Description: bacterial SSU rRNA
Rfam family: Bacterial small subunit ribosomal RNA
Source: RNAcentral
CUAGAGUUUGAUCAUGGCUCAGAGCGAACGCUGGCGGCAGGCUUAACACAUGCAAGUCGAACGGGCGUAGCAAUACGUCAGUGGCAGACGGGUGAGUAACGCGUGGGAACAUACCUUUUGGUUCGGAACAACACAGGGAAACUUGUGCUAAUACCGGAUAAGCCCUUACGGGGAAAGAUUUAUCGCCGAAAGAUUGGCCCGCGUCUGAUUAGCUUGUUGGUGAGGUAAUGGCUCACCAAGGCGACGAUCAGUAGCUGGUCUGAGAGGAUGAUCAGCCACAUUGGGACUGAGACACGGCCCAAACUCCUACGGGAGGCAGCAGUGGGGAAUAUUGGGCAAUGGGCGAAAGCCUGAUCCAGCCAUGCCGCGUGAGUGAUGAAGGCCCUAGGGUUGUAAAGCUCUUUUGUGCGGGAAGAUAAUGACGGUACCGCAAGAAUAAGCCCCGGCUAACUUCGUGCCAGCAGCCGCGGUAGCCCAAUCGCC